Molecule: ribosomal RNA, 301 nt
Filed under: uncultured bacterium
Lineage: Bacteria
Description: partial 16S ribosomal RNA
Rfam family: Bacterial small subunit ribosomal RNA
Source: RNAcentral
CAGUAGCCACGGUAAUACGUAGGGUGCAAGCGUUAAUCGGAAUUACUGGGCGUAAAGCGUGCGCAGGCGGUUAUAUAAGACAGUCGUGAAAUCCCCGGGCUCAACCUGGGAACUGCGAUUGUGACUGUAUGGCUAGAGUGUGUCAGAGGGGGGUAGAAUUCCACGUGUAGCAGUGAAAUGCGUAGAUAUGUGGAGGAAUACCGAUGGCGAAGGCAGCCCCCUGGGAUAACACUGACGCUCAUGCACGAAAGCGUGGGGAGCAAACAGGAUUAGAUACCCGCGUAGUCCCUGUCUCUUAUAC